Drosophila ficusphila is the source of this 3606-nucleotide RNA transcript. It is a transcript of the gene named autophagy-related protein 16, with no coding region annotated. The transcript is spliced from 11 exons. The record is from RefSeq and is a predicted model, not a curated record. NCBI's taxonomy places the organism in Eukaryota, Metazoa, Arthropoda, Insecta, Diptera, Drosophilidae.
UUGUCCCAUCUCUAGCUGCUCUAUUUGUUGAUAUGAACAGCUGAAUAAUAAUCAUAUUUGGUUAAAAACAAUUAUGCGAUUUAACGCAGCCGCCUUAUAGCGCCCGUGCCACGCCCUCUGCGAUGCGAACAGGCGACCAAGCCAAGGUGUCGCCACGAAUCCUGCAAUCGAGAAACCAAGUCGAAGGUUCGGAAUAAGUAGUACAAAUAAGUCAGUAAAUUCCGGGGAAAAUACAUUAAAAUAUGUCUACGGAGGAGCAUGUGUGGCGAGCACACAUCGUGCGACGAUUACGCGAACGCAACCGUAAGGAGUGCGACAACUUUAAGGAGAUCAUCGAGCAAAACAACCGACUGAUUGACCAUGUGGCGCAACUCAAGGCGGACAACCUUAAGCUGUCCGUGGAAAACGAGCAGCUCCGCAGCGCGGUGUCAACAGGUGGCACCGGUUCCAACGUGGCCAUCGCCACCCUCGAAAAGAAGCUGCUCAGUCAGCAGGAAGAACUCACCGACUUGCACAAACGCAAGGGUGAGAACUCCCAGAUGAUCGUAGACUUGAACCAGAAGGUGGAGCAGCAAAGGAUCACGAUUUCUGAGAAGGAGCACAGCCUCGCCGAACAGCAAACGAAUAACAAUCGAUUGCGGGCUGAAGUGCAGUUACUCCACUCAAGUUUGGAGGAACUUAAAAAACUAAACAAUACCAUGCUGGAUGAGCACACAGCGCUUCAAUUAGCAUUUAGCUCACUCGAGGACAAACUGAGAGGAGUACAAGACGAAAAUCGGCGUUUACUGGAGCGGCUAAUGCAAUAUAAGUCAAAGGAUGCCGACAAGUUGAAUGAGGAAAACGAGAGCAUAAUAAGAAAAAGACUGCCGUCAAUUUUCAGGAAACGUUCGGCCAAACUGAAACGUGACUUGGAAGACGCGGUCCGUGAGCCCGGCACGUCCACGAAUACCGCAUCUUCGCCCGGUGCAGCGUCCUUGCAGCGCAACUCCAGUCCCGCCCAGUUCGUUGGGGGUCUCAUCGGGGACGAGGACUUCGACGAGGCGACGAUAAAUGGCGCCAUGGAAGCCAUAGGUCUCGAUGAUAAUGAAUAUAUUAGCGCUCGUUUUACAGCAGGCGAGGUCUGUGAGAACUCCCGAACGUCUAUCGACACUCUAAAGGCCACGGGCUACUUGGGUCAGGCCAAUCCGACCAAGAUCCUUAUGAAAUUCGAGGCGCACGAAAACGAGUCGCACGCGGUGCGCUGGAGUCCCGUGGAGCGCAUGGUGGCCACCGGUGGCGCCGAUCGCAAAGUCAAACUUUGGGAUAUUGGCAAAAAUUCCACUGAGCCACGAGCUGUUUUGAGUGGGAGCAGUGCAGGGAUUAAUUCCGUAGACUUUGAUUCAACAGGUGCCUAUAUAUUGGGCACCUCAAAUGAUUACGGUGCCAGAGUAUGGACGGUGAUAGACAAUCGGCUAAGACACACGCUGACGGGUCACAGUGGCAAAGUGAUGGCCGCCAAAUAUGUCCAAGAGCCCAUUAAAGUGGUGACCGGAAGCCAUGAUCGCACUCUGAAGAUCUGGGAUUUGCGCAGCAUCGCCUGCAUAGAGACGAAAUUCGCCGGAUCGAGUUGCAACGAUCUCGUCACCACCGACAGCCUGGGAUCAACGAUUAUCAGCGGGCAUUACGAUAAGAAGAUCCGGUUCUGGGACAUUCGUACCGAGAAGCAGGCAGAUGAUGUCUUGAUGCCAGCCAAAAUCACCUCCUUGGAUUUGUCAAAAGAUUGUAAUUACCUCAUAUGCUCUGUAAGAGACGAUACUAUUAAAUUAUUAGAUUUACGCAAAAAUCAAGUUAUAUCCACGUUUACAAACGAACACUUUAAAAUCAGCUGUGAUUUUGCUCGAGCUUCUUUCAACUCGAGCGGCCUAAAGAUUGCAUGUGGAUCGGCGGAUGGCGCUAUAUAUAUUUGGAAUGUGAAUGGUUUCCUAGAAGCCACUCUCAAGGGACACAGCACUGCGGUAAAUGCGGUCAGCUGGAGUCCCAACAAUAAUUCGCUGGCUUCCGUUGGCAAGAACAAACGAUGCAUCAUAUAUUCGGAUUCAUAACCCUAAUUGUUGCCAUAAACGUCAGUCAGUUCCAUUUUACUGAAACGCUUGUAGUCAGAGCUGUAAUCAAUAACGGCCAUGCGGAGUCUGCUGUAAAUAGUAAAUUCGGUUGGCGAAUGGUCAAGCACCUGUAUUUAGCUAGAAAAGAAUGCACGCCGAUUUCAGACAAUAAUGCUCAGCCAACAAAACUUCUUAUGCAUCCUUCGUCGAACGUGAUGCAUUUUAAUUUCUGCAUAUGUGAUCAAUUCUUAGCACGAACGUUGUGCCAUUGGCGAACACAUCCAAUUAUUUCGUGUGCUAUGCUGACGGAGCACAAUCGACACUGGGAAUCUCUAAUUGAGCGAGGAAAAUAACCACGGCACCAUCAUUACAAAUCUAACGUACAUUCAUUUUUAUCGCCUUGCAUGCGUGCUUUAAUUAAGAAUCUUUUCAGAUUAUGCCUCGAAAACAACUACAACUUAGCGUUAAGUACCGCCAUACGAUCUAAAAUCUUGUGGCGCUCUUAAGUACUCGUAUUUGUACUUGAGGUAGUGUCGUUGAAGGCGCAUUGCUAAGUAAAUUAAUUGAGAGGAAUCCAGUCAUCCAGAGUAGGACCGAGUGACGGGCAGACGAUUGGACAGGGACAGGAGUCACUUUCCCGUAUGCGAGAGCGUUCCUCCAGCAGAUAAAGAUACAAAUCUGCACGAAGCCUGUUUCCUGUUGUGCUGAGGGUGCAUUUAUUUGCAUGAUUCACACAAGCGUCGAGGCUAACGAUACUUAUACAGCUGCUGGAUGGUCGUACAGGUGUACGCCAUCACCAUCGCCAUCGCCAUGCUCUAUGCUCGAAGUUCCAAACUCCAAGCCCCAAACUCCAUACUCCAUGCUCCAUACUCCAUGCGCCAUAAUGAAGAUGGGACGUCGAGGCGCUGGGAAAACUUACGAAAACAAGCACGACAUUUGGACCUUUCUGCCGCCUCUCUGCCCACAUCGAAAAGUGAAUCGGUGCCUUCCCUUCCUCGUUUUUGUGCUUAGGAUUUGGAUUCUGGCGAGUGUGUCGUGCAUUUUGGGCGACUCUAAGUGAGCAUGUUCCUGGAAGCCCUCGAGUCGCUUUUACAGUUGGAUGCAUUUUAAGUUUUAUUGAAGUAUAAAUAAUAAUUCGCAGGUGUCUGCAUUCCGACUCCAAUUCGCACAGUUUGUUAUGCGUGGGUAAAAGGCUAGGCAGUCAGACUUUUGUUCAUCCAUUCCCAUAUAGUAUAUACGAAUAUGUUUAUAUGGUGCUCCAAAUGCAAGCAGUAAAAAUGUUAAUAUAUUAUUGCUUUAUUUCCCCCAUAGAAAGUUCAUUUCCAUAUAUGUUUAUUCCACGAGCAUUUUGUUCCGUAACAAGAAACUCGUAGCCCAACCGCCAAAAGAGAACACAACGAUUGAAAUUCAUUAAAAAUCUUAAUCUUUAAUAAUAAUAAGAUGAGUUUCGUUCCAUAAAAUUAAAGGGUCCAAUGCAAACAUUAAACUGUCAUUGAUAUGUAAUAAAUUAAAGUGCUUAACUAAA